AACGAACGCUGGCGGCAUGCCUAACACAUGCAAGUCGAACAAAGCCUUCGGGCUUAGUGGCGCACGGGUGCGUAACGCGUGGGAAUCUGCCCUUUGGUUCGGAAUAACAGUUGGAAACGACUGCUAAUACCGGAUGAUGACGAAAGUCCAAAGAUUUAUCGCCAGAGGAUGAGCCCGCGUAGGAUUAGCUAGUUGGUGCGGUAAAGGCGCACCAAGGCGACGAUCCUUAGCUGGUCUGAGAGGAUGAUCAGCCACACUGGGACUGAGACACGGCCCAGACUCCUACGGGAGGCAGCAGUGGGGAAUAUUGGACAAUGGGCGAAAGCCUGAUCCAGCAAUGCCGCGUGAGUGAUGAAGGCCCUAGGGUUGUAAAGCUCUUUUACCCGGGAUGAUAAUGACAGUACCGGGAGAAUAAGCCCCGGCUAACUCCGUGCCAGCCGCCGCGGUAA
This 449-nucleotide ribosomal RNA is filed under the name uncultured bacterium. RNAcentral's name for it is "partial 16S ribosomal RNA". It matches the Rfam family "Bacterial small subunit ribosomal RNA", at positions 29 to 523 of the family's 1533-position model. The record is from RNAcentral.